AGUAACGCGUGAGGAACCUGCCUUCCAGAGGGGGGACAACAGUUGGAAACGACUGCUAAUACCGCAUGAUGCGUUGGAGCCGCAUGACUCCGACGUCAAAGAUUUAUCGCUGGAAGAUGGCCUCGCGUCUGAUUAGCUAGUUGGUGAGGUAACGGCCCACCAAGGCGACGAUCAGUAGCCGGACUGAGAGGUUGGCCGGCCACAUUGGGACUGAGAUACGGCCCAGACUCCUACGGAAGGCAGCAG
RNAcentral lists this ribosomal RNA (246 nucleotides) under uncultured bacterium. Its description in RNAcentral is "partial 16S ribosomal RNA". It matches the Rfam family "Bacterial small subunit ribosomal RNA", at positions 109 to 354 of the family's 1533-position model. The record is from RNAcentral.